CCAAAGUGAAUCGGAAGCCUUAACAUUAC
RNAcentral lists this non-coding RNA (29 nucleotides) under Mus musculus (house mouse). The record is from RNAcentral. Lineage: Eukaryota; Metazoa; Chordata; Mammalia; Rodentia; Muridae.